ACUUAAAAAAAAAAGUUAUAAAAAAUGCUUUUUAGAUCGCACUUAAAAAAGAUGCAUCUAAACAUCUCCACCAUAUAGUAAACUUCGAUGCUUCUGAAAAGGUCAUCACACGAACCGCCUGUUAUAUCAAAUCAAUAUAUUGAAAGAAAAACUGUACAAUUAUUUUUAAUUUUUUGACGCUUUAAUAUUUUACCGAUACAUAGCAUAAAUGUCGGUAUAUAUAAAUGUAACGACUCUUUAUUUAUCUAUGCUUUUAAAUGUAACAGUAUACUAUUUUAAAUACUUUUAAGUAUCGUAAAGUAUAAAAAAAAAAAAACUUUAC
This 322-nucleotide long non-coding RNA is filed under the name Ananas comosus (pineapple). RNAcentral's name for it is "long non-coding RNA (ACOM_LNC018576)". Lineage: Eukaryota; Viridiplantae; Streptophyta; Magnoliopsida; Poales; Bromeliaceae. The record is from RNAcentral.